ACUGGGUCUAAAAGCCCAAACUGGGUUGGUUUAUGCUAGGCUAUUACAUUCUUUCUCCCUUAAAAAUAAUUUUAUCCUCAAAAUUAAUAUACCUAAAAUUUUGAAGAGCUGUGGAUACUUGACUUUCAUUUCUACUUCGAGUUCUUAUGUAGUUUCUCUUUCACUAUAGUUGCUCCAUUUUAUCUUCACAUAAGGUAUAGUUC
This 203-nucleotide long non-coding RNA is filed under the name Elaeis guineensis (African oil palm). Its description in RNAcentral is "long non-coding RNA (EGUI_LNC011997)". Lineage: Eukaryota; Viridiplantae; Streptophyta; Magnoliopsida; Arecales; Arecaceae. The record is from RNAcentral.